RNAcentral lists this small RNA (325 nucleotides) under Histoplasma capsulatum var. duboisii H88. RNAcentral's name for it is "Histoplasma capsulatum H88 hypothetical RNA". Lineage: Eukaryota; Fungi; Ascomycota; Eurotiomycetes; Onygenales; Ajellomycetaceae. The record is from RNAcentral.
CGCCAGUUUAGAGAGACGUAAUUAUCGUCCCCCAGCUUCCUACAAGCUUUUUUGUGAUUUAUAUAAAGAAUUUACGUGCUCGAGAUGUGGGAAAUGAUGGACAAUUCAUUGCGAAAUUAGCUCUAUCAGCAGCAAAACCGAGGAUCCAGAUGGAGGAGGGUGAGGCUGCCCUGGAGAGUUGGGACACACUAGAGAUUCAAUAUAACUACUGCAUAUGUAUCCUAGAGGUUAUCGGCAUUUCUAUCAGGUGGCGUAUGAGGUACUUUCCCUAUUCUAGAGAGGAUAGUAUUUCUUGUUGGUUAGAUUAGAAUAUAUUAUGGGUAGA